Molecule: ribosomal RNA, 243 nt
Filed under: uncultured Bacteroidota bacterium
Lineage: Bacteria; Pseudomonadati; Bacteroidota
Description: uncultured Bacteroidetes bacterium partial 16S ribosomal RNA
Rfam family: Bacterial small subunit ribosomal RNA
Source: RNAcentral
CACACUGUAAACGAUGAUAACUGGGUGUUGGUCUGUACAGAUCAGCGCCUUAAGCGAAAGCGUUAAGUUAUCCACCUGGGGAGUACGUCGGCAACGAUGAAACUCAAAGGAAUUGACGGGGGCCCGCACAAGCGGAGGAACAUGUGGUUUAAUUCGAUGAUACGCGAGGAACCUUACCCGGGCUCGAACGGCAGAGUGAUGAUGGGGAAACUUAUCAGCCAGCAAUGGACUCUGUCGAGGUGC